Molecule: long non-coding RNA, 2495 nt
Organism: Portunus trituberculatus (swimming crab)
Lineage: Eukaryota; Metazoa; Arthropoda; Malacostraca; Decapoda; Portunidae
Exons: 2
Source: RefSeq, a predicted model, not a curated record
ACUACUACUACUACUACUACCCUUAAAAUCCUUACUUUUCCUCACUACUACCUGUGUCUGUGUGUCUAUCAUAAGCCUAUACCUAUACAAUAAUAUCCAUGCAGAGGAAAGAGAACCAUCCAGAAAAGGGAAGAAGGUGAACAGGAUGCCACAGAAAUAGCUGGAGAUGCGCUGUACAGAGAAUGAGAGUCGGAAGAUGCAGGGAAGAACAACAAAUGGAGACACGUACAGUAUAUGGUGCCAGCUCUCACUUAGAGGCGCCGACACACCAGCUCGUCCUCCGUUAACUUUCCCGUCAAAUUAUGCUUUCUGUUGUCUAUGCCGUGAAUCGUCCCACGGUAAACUAAUGAUCGUCUUCACGGAGGAAGUAAUAUAAAGAUACGUCAAAUUAAUCUUUUUCUAAACCUUUUUUUAGAAUAUGUAAAAUCGCUUAAUUUCACAUAUUGCAUUUGACAAGUGAAUCUAUAACAGCAAAGAGUGGUUCGUUAGAUUCGAUAUGUGUUUACUCUUUUGGAAAGCUUGUAUUUCUCUACUCUUGCACGCUGGAUACCAUUGUAACUCAUUUGGUUCACCUCUGAUUUGUACAACUUUGUAUUAAUGUGCAGGACAGUGACUGAUUGUCUGUGGGUUAGCGGAGCAACACUCGUGGUGAAUUAGGGUCCCGGCGUGGCUGGAUCCGCGGCCUGCUGGUGUGAACUGCCAGUUAUGCAUUUCUAUUGGAAUGUUGUUGGGCAAGUGAGAGAGAGAGAGAGAGAGAGAGAGAGAGCCGGGAGCCAUGUUUGUGUAUUUAUUGUUGACGAAAGUGUGCGUGUUACGAGGCGAGCUUAAAAGAAAUACUCGAUUUUCAGAAACUUGACGAGAAAAAGUUGACUAAAAUGUGGUAGUGAUGCGGCGCCUUAAGGACACGGCAGAAGGGUGAGAGUGGGCGUGCAUACCUGUGGCUAUGUACCCUGCCGUGCUGACCCUUUAAAUGCACCGCCGGUCACGUGGCCGCCUGGGUUACCUGCGCUCCUUCCCUUUAACUCUUGCCGGCCCACCUGUACGUACUACCGCCACCUGUCACCUGCCCCUUUAAUUAAAUACCUGCCCCUUCCCUUUCCCUUUGCUGCUUAAUGUGGUGGUGGUUAUUGUAGUAGUUGUCGUUGUAGUGGUGGUGGUAGUGAUGGUGGUGGUGGUGGUGGUGGUGAGAAAUUACGUAACGAGAAUAAUUUAUGAAUACGAAUCUUGGAAAAUGCGUGAGAGAGAGAGAGAGAGAGAGAGAGAGAGAGAGAGAGAGAGAGAGACGUGAGGUAAAAAAAUAUAAAAAAAUGUGUAAAUAAAAGUAAAAUCUUCAAAUUAUGGUUAUGGUGCUUUUAUCUCUCUCAUCUCCCUCUCUCCUCUCCCCCCUCUCUUCUCUCCUCUCCAUCUCUCCUCUCCAUCAUCCGGUUAGUGUGUGUCAAGGGUGAAGGUCGUCUCUCUCUCUCUCUCUCUCUCUCUCUCUCUCUCUCUCUCUCUCUCUCUCUCUCUCUCUCUCUCUCUCUCUCUCUCUCUCUCUCUCUCUCUCUCUCUCUCUCUCUCUUUUGCCUUCAGCCUCCCGGAAGCUCAGUGGCAUGACGGAGGAGGGAGGAAGAAGAGGAGGAGGAGGAACACGAGGUUGAUGAAGAGUAAGAGGUUCAGAAGGAAGAGGAGAUGAAGAGGAAAUGAAAAGGGGGAAAGUAAUGAUAGAGCAAGAGGAGAAUAGUAAGAGUAAGGAUUGAAGUAAGAGGAACAUUGAAAGGAGGAAGAGAAGAGAGAAGUAAUGAAAGUGAAGAAUAUAAGAGGAAGAACUUACGGUGAAGGAGGAGGAAGAGGAGUAGGGAGGUAUUCAAGAGGAUUAGGAGGAGGAAGAGGAGGCAGGAGGAAUGCAGGUGAAGUGGUUUGUGAAGCGCAGGUCAAUCUUUGUAAAUGCCGUCUUGUCAAGGUUUAUAUAGAUUAGGUGAAGUGAGGUGAGGUGAGGUGAAGUGAGAUGAGGUUAGAUGAAGUGAAGAUCGAUUAGGUUAGGGUAGUUUAAAGUUAGGUUAGGUGGCAUGAGAUAAGGGGAAGUAAAGGAUAGGUUAGGUGGAGAAAUGUUAGGCAUGGUUAAAACGGUGUUAGGUCUGGUUAGAUUAGUUAAAAGUUAGAUUGUGUGUGGUUAGGUUAGGUGGAGUUGGAUAGAGGAGAAGCAAUGAUAGUUUAAGUGAAGGAAAGGUAAGAUUAAAAGAAGAAAAAAAACAUUAGAUCUGGUUAGAAUGAGGUUUGGCAAGGUUAGAUGGAACGAAGUGAUGUUAGGUAAGGUUAGGUUAGACGGAAAAAGAUAGGGUUCCAUUAAAUCAAAGUUGAGUUAGGUAAAAGUUUUUAGAUGAAGUUAGAUGAGGUAAAGGAAGGUUAGGUUAGGUAAGGGAAACAAACUUGGCGAAAUGUUGGGUAAAGCAAGGGAAAGCUGUAUAAAGUUAGAUUAAACGAAUAGACUCGGUGAAAUGAUGUUAGAUAAAAGUAAG